CAGCCGCGCGGGAAUACGUAGGUGGCAAGCGUUGUCCGGAAUUAUUGGGCGUAAAGGGCUCGCAGGCGGUUUCUUAAGUCUGAUGUGAAAGCCCCCGGCUCAACCGGGGAGGGUCAUUGGAAACUGGGAAACUUGAGUGCAGAAGAGGAGAGUGGAAUUCCACGUGUAGCGGUGAAAUGCGUAGAGAUGUGGAGGAACACCAGUGGCGAAGGCGACUCUCUGUUCUGUAACUGACGCUGAGGAGCGAAAGCGUGGGGAGCGGACAGGAUUAGAUACCCCUGUAGUCCCUGUCUCUUAUACA
Molecule: ribosomal RNA, 301 nt
Filed under: uncultured bacterium
Lineage: Bacteria
Description: partial 16S ribosomal RNA
Rfam family: Bacterial small subunit ribosomal RNA
Source: RNAcentral